CCUUCCUCUGAGCAAAUGCCCUACACAU
RNAcentral lists this non-coding RNA (28 nucleotides) under Cricetulus griseus (Chinese hamster). Lineage: Eukaryota; Metazoa; Chordata; Mammalia; Rodentia; Cricetidae. The record is from RNAcentral.